RNAcentral lists this ribosomal RNA (546 nucleotides) under uncultured bacterium. RNAcentral describes it as "bacterial SSU rRNA". It matches the Rfam family "Bacterial small subunit ribosomal RNA", at positions 777 to 1321 of the family's 1533-position model. The record is from RNAcentral.
AAUAGAUACCCUGGUAGUCCACGCUGUAAACGUUGGGCGCUAGGUGUGGGGGACCUCUCCGGUUCUCUGUGCCGCAGCUAACGCAUUAAGCGCCCCGCCUGGGGAGUACGGCCGCAAGGCUAAAACUCAAAGGAAUUGACGGGGGGCCCGCACAAGCGGCGGAGCAUGCGGAUUAAUUCGAUGCAACGCGAAGAACCUUACCUGGGUUUGACAUCACUCGAAAACUCGUAGAGAUACGGGGUCCUUCGGGGCGGGUGACAGGUGGUGCAUGGCUGUCGUCAGCUCGUGUCGUGAGAUGUUGGGUUAAGUCCCGCAACGAGCGCAACCCUCGUUCGAUGUUGCCAGCGUGUUAUGGCGGGGACUCAUCGAAGACUGCCGGGGUCAACUCGGAGGAAGGUGGGGAUGACGUCAAGUCAUCAUGCCCCUUAUGUCCAGGGCUUCACGCAUGCUACAAUGGCCGGUACAAAGGGUUGCGAUGCCGUGAGGUGGAGCGAAUCCCGAAAAAGCCGGUCUCAGUUCGGAUCGGGGUCUGCAACUCGACCCCGU